Molecule: ribosomal RNA, 396 nt
Filed under: uncultured bacterium
Lineage: Bacteria
Description: bacterial SSU rRNA
Rfam family: Bacterial small subunit ribosomal RNA
Source: RNAcentral
GGACGAACGCUGGCGGCGUGCCUAACACAUGCAAGUGGAGCGACGAACCGGACUUCGGUCCGGGGCAAAGCCGCGAACGGGUGAGUAACACGUGGGUAACCUGCCCUGAUGAUUGGGACAACCCGAGGAAACUCGGGCUAAUACCGAAUGUGUCCAUCGGCCUCAAGGUCCUUUGGGGAAAGGAAGCUUCGGCCUCCGCAUCGGGAUGGGCCCGCGGCCCAUUAGCUUGUUGGUGGGGUAAUGGCCCACCAAGGCGACGAUGGGUAGCUGGUCUGAGAGGACGAUCAGCCACACUGGGACUGAGACACGGCCCAGACUCUACGGGAGGCAGCAGUGGGGAAUCUUGCGCAAUGCGCGAAAAGCGUGACNCAGCAACGCCGCGUGGGGAAGACGGCC